Molecule: ribosomal RNA, 558 nt
Filed under: uncultured bacterium
Lineage: Bacteria
Description: bacterial SSU rRNA
Rfam family: Bacterial small subunit ribosomal RNA
Source: RNAcentral
CAAUGGUCGGAAGACUGAUCCAGCCAUGCCGCGUGCAGGAUGAAGGUCCUAUGGAUUGUAAACUGCUUUUGUAAGGGAAGAAUAAGGAGUACGUGUACUUUGAUGACGGUACCUUACGAAUAAGCAUCGGCUAACUCCGUGCCAGCAGCCGCGGUAAUACGGAGGAUGCGAGCGUUAUCCGGAAUCAUUGGGUUUAAAGGGUCCGUAGGCGGGCUGAUAAGUCAGAGGUGAAAGCGCUUAGCUCAACUAAGCAACUGCCUUUGAAACUGUCAGUCUUGAAUGAUUGUGAAGUAGUUGGAAUGUGUAGUGUAGCGGUGAAAUGCUUAGAUAUUACACAGAACACCGAUAGCGAAGGCAUAUUACUAACAAUUUAUUGACGCUGAUGGACGAAAGCGUGGGGAGCGAACAGGAUUAGAUACCCUGGUAGUCCACGCUGUAAACGAUGGAUACUAGCUGUUUGGAGCAAUCUGAGUGGCUAAGCGAAAGUGAUAAGUAUCCCACCUGGGGAGUACGCACGCAAGUGUGAAACUCAAAGGAAUUGACGGGGGCCCGCACAAG